This 621-nucleotide ribosomal RNA is filed under the name Triticum aestivum (bread wheat). RNAcentral describes it as "partial small subunit ribosomal RNA". The record is from RNAcentral. Lineage: Eukaryota; Viridiplantae; Streptophyta; Magnoliopsida; Poales; Poaceae.
AUGAAGGAAUUCAUUGCAGAGAUUGUUAGCAUAGGCCGCCUUCAACACCGCAAUCUUGUCCAAUUACUGGGAUAUUGCCGGCGAAAAGGUGAGCUUCUUUUAGUAUACGAUUAUAUGCCAAAUGGAAGCCUAGACAAAUACUUAUAUGGCAAAGAUGGAAAGCCUACUUUGGAUUGGUCUCAGUGGUUUCAAAUCAUCAAAUGUGUAUCAAAUGGAUUACUCUACCUUCACGAGGAGUGUGAGAAAAUUAUCAUACAUCGAGACAUCAAGGCAAGCAAUGUGCUCAUCGACACCGAGAUCAGUGGGCGAAUAGGUGACUUUGGUCUUGCAAGGUUGUAUGACCAUGGUAGCGACCCAGAAGCCACACGUGUUGUUGGCACCAUAGGAUACCUAGCUCCAGAGCUUGCACGCACUGGCAAGGCAACCCCAUUUACGGAUGUAUUUUCCUUCGGUGUGUUCAUUCUUGAGGUCACCUGUGGGCAAAAGCCCAUCAUGAAAGAUACGGAGGAAAGCCAUCUCAUGCUAGUUGACUGGGUGCUUGAACAUUGGCAUAAAUGUUCACUCAAUGAUGCAGUGGACAUCAAGCUUCAAGGCGAAUUGAUGUUGGUGAAGCAUUCUUAG